Molecule: ribosomal RNA, 476 nt
Filed under: uncultured soil bacterium
Lineage: Bacteria
Description: bacterial SSU rRNA
Rfam family: Bacterial small subunit ribosomal RNA
Source: RNAcentral
GAGUUUGAUCCUGGCUCAGGAAGCCUUGAGAAAGGGCGUGCCUAACACAUGCAAGUCGAGCGGAGGAUUUAAGAUGUUUACAUUGAGAAUCCUUAGCGGCGGACGGGUGAGUAACACGUGGGUAACCUGCCUCAAAGUGGGGGAUAGCCUUUCGAAAGGAAGAUUAAUACCGCAUAAGCCUCCGGUGCCGCAUGGCGCUGAAGGAAAAGGAGCAAUUCGCUUUGAGAUGGACCCGCGGCGCAUUAGCUAGUUGGUGAGGUAACGGCUCACCAAGGCCACGAUGCGUAGCCGACCUGAGAGGGUGAUCGGCCACAUUGGAACUGAGUCUCGGUCCAGACUCCUACGGGAGGCAGCAGUGGGGAAUAUUGCACAAUGGGCGAAAGCCUGAUGCAGCAACGCCGCGUGAGUGAUGAAGGCCUUAGGGUUGUAAACCGCUGUCGAAGGGGAGGAAACUGUAGUGGGUUCACCCAUUAUAU